Molecule: long non-coding RNA, 2078 nt
Organism: Triticum dicoccoides
Lineage: Eukaryota; Viridiplantae; Streptophyta; Magnoliopsida; Poales; Poaceae
Exons: 2
Source: RefSeq, a predicted model, not a curated record
UUCACCCAUCCACUUCCUCUCCUGUCCACCUCCUUCCUCCCACCCCACCCCUCGAUCCACCAACCAACCGCCGCGCUGCGCACCAGGCCGGCCAACUACCGCCGUGCGCCGCGCCCCAGGCCGGCCAACUACCACCGCGCGCCGCUCCCCAGUCUGGGCACCCCCCGGUGUGCCUCGCCUUCCUCCUUUCAUCCUCCUCGAGACGCCGGCCACUCAGCAGCCCCCUCAGCUGUCGGCUGGCGCGACCACGCCUCCCCACGCCGGGCUGCCUUCCCCGUCGAUGGAUACGAGCUCUACUGGCCCAGGCGACGCUACCAUCGCAGGAUUCGGCGAGAUUUGCCCAAGUAAACACCAUCUCCGUCGGUUAGGGCCCGCCGCGCCGGCUGGCGUCAGAUCCGCCCAUCCUUGCGCGAUGUUGGCCUUCCUUCUACCUCCAAUGUGCGGAUCCCCUCCCCUUCGUCUCCUCCUUCUAGCUCCAACCUCCCUCCGCUACCGGCCGGUGCGGCCUCGAGCCCUCGACUCCUGCGCCAACAACCGAACUCCCGCGCCACCAACCGCAGCAACGGCCUCAAGACGGUGUUUCCUCUCCUCAUCGCCGUGCCCUCUCUCCAUUCCCACGCAGUCCACUUCAGAGAGAAGGAGGAACUCCAUCACCGGCGCAUGUGCCACUCGCGAGGUGAAGCCGCCUCCCAGUUUGCGGGGUGUGCGUGUGGAGUACGGCGGGCGCGUCGGUGCAGUCUGGUGGGCGCGUCAGUGCAGUCCGUCCGGGUAGAGCGUGCAUUGCUCACGCGCCACAUCCCCCGCCGGUUAGCCGCCCCUCUGUCCACCUCCUACGCCGCUGGAGUAACACAGUCGUUUUUCUUCUUCUUCUUCUUCCUUUUUUGGAUUUUGGAUAUGUAGUACAGUCGGAUCCCUCAGGCAGUGCGCCACGCGCCCUCGUUCGGUACGCUAAUAUCCAGUUCAUCGUAGUCCGGCCUUGGGCAGCAAGUGAGCCCCUCCCGUCCACCCGGGCUAUGGAGGCGAGCUAGAUCCGGCGAGAUCCUUUCCUCUACGGUCCCCGGCCGUCCAACCUCACGCCCCGACGGCCUCCUGCAAGCACGGAUGGGUCGACGCCACCCCGUCCGCACUGCAUUUGUAAAAAAAUUCAGAAAAAAAUUAAAGAAUGGUGAAGUUCAUUUGGGGCAUCUCGGCCGCCGCCGUUGCGCCGUGCUACCCCGACACUACAGUCUACAGAGCAAUAGCGGCAACAUGGCUCCUCGUUCUGCCUUCUAGAGCAGCGGUGCAGUUGCUGCGGCCAUGCAGCUCGGCUUGCGGACAAAUGCAGUUGACUUGCACAGGCCGGUUGCUCUCUGCGAGGAACCAAUUUGAUACCAUUUUUAUUUGGGUGAUUCAGCGUCAGAAGCUAACUCUUGCUUUUGCAUCUUUUCUUCCACAGCGGUUGCAGAUGUGUUGGAGCAAGAGGGCUCCUAAAACAUAGCCUGCAUCACCUUAAGUCUUCAGACACUGAAACCAGGUAUCAACAUUAAGUACACUGAUCUCUGGAAUCCUCUCUAGAAUUUACUGAUGAAAUCUUGUGUUAGUGUACAGUGUUUUGCAAUUCUCCUGGUUUGUGUUGCAAUUCUACCUGUGCAGCUCAGUUGCCUCUCCCCGUGCAGCUCGCUUGCCGCCCCCGUGCAGCUCACCUCCGCCGAGCAAACUCUUUUCGGCGAGUCCACAUCGCGUCCGCACCACAUCGUGCAAUUUGAGUGCAGUUUUUGAUUAUUUUUGGAGCAGCACAUCCAUCCAACCCAAUAAGUUCAGAGUUUGUGUGUUCAGUGCAGUACCGCAGUGCAAUGCAGUGCAGUUUCGGUUUCAGAGUCCCGUUGAAGGCCUCUUGGUGCUAUCCUCACUUAAUUUUUAUGUGAAAAUGUGUGUACAGCCUGUGUAACAGAAUUGCAAGGCCAAGUUUGUCAUAAAAAAUGAUGCUUAGAUGCGAUUCAGUGUAAAAUCCUAUGUGGUUCACUUGGUAAACAAAAAAGUGUCUGGUAUGUAAAUUUUUGAAGCUCACUUUGUAAUGUCAUGUGGCUAACCUCUCGAUA